CAAUCGGCCCUUUUCAGGGCCACCAAAAUUUUCAAAACAUAGAAAU
Trichomalopsis sarcophagae is the source of this 46-nucleotide regulatory RNA element. It matches the Rfam family "Histone 3' UTR stem-loop". From Rfam's summary of the family: The mRNAs of metazoan histone genes lack a poly-A tail. The record is from Rfam. Lineage: Eukaryota; Metazoa; Arthropoda; Insecta; Hymenoptera; Pteromalidae.